UGCUUGCCUGUCACCUCCUCUCCCUGCUGCCCUUCUUCCCUCCCGCUGUGUGAUGUGGGGGAGGGAAGAGGGUUGCUCUCCUUGGGACCCGUCUAAGCGCCUGUGUUUAUGUCAACACCUCGAGGAACUGGUGGGGACUGGUCUGUGCCGAUCCCCAGCAGCCCAAAACUGAGCUUUACCUCCUCCCCACUGGCACCUCCCUCCCCCAGCGGAUCCUGUUUGCUUCCUCCUGUUCCUCUUGCUCAAACAACUCCUUGUCGAGCCGCUGCAGGUGUGGCAGCAUGACCAGAACCUCCAGCCGGUAACUGGGUUCCUUACAGCAUGGAUUGUCCAUCAGCACCAGUGCCUGCAGCAUGGGCAGGACCCGCAGUUUUGCCACCUCCUGAAGGCUGCUGAUCCUGUUAUUCCUAACAAGAGGAAGCACAGAGAGCAGGGGAGACAUGCAAGGGAGCAAGAUCUCUUUGGAACAGUGCAUCUUCCUGCAACAGUCUGACAAUCACACCGCGGCAGAAAUGUGUCCUACCAGCUUAGAAGUCCCAAACGCCGAAUUUCAUUCCCAUCACUGCGUUGAGAACUGGGAGGGGCGCUAGGGAAUUACGAAGCUCUGAAUUCCAGUUUCGUAGCAGGAUUCAGGCUGGAGAAGACCACUAGAGGUCUCCUGGCCAUGCCCGGGCUCACUGCAGGUCGAGCAACAUCUCCAAUCAAGCCACUCCCGGUCUUAGGCAGCUAAGUCCUGCAACUUCCCUGGUAACUACCUCACCAUCGCGUUCUGCAGCCUGGAGCUGGGCAGGGCUUCACUUGUGGUUGUGGCUUAGAGCUGCAGUCCCUAAGGACACGGAUACCUGAACGGGAAACAGGGAGAGAGGUGCCACUGCUCCCUGUCCCUCGUAGGUACCCGGGCAGUAGCCAAUGCCUGAAACCAAUAAAAGGGGCACAGGAUGAACUGGUGGGUGAGGAGGACAGUUUUGUAGCAAAGGAGGACUGUAAUGGAAACUGGAUAAGGACAAGUCUGGACCAGCUGGGCCAAGGAAAGAGGGUAACUCGAGGACAAAAGGAGGGAAGGCAGAGAUUUAGCAAAGGCCACGUGAAGCGAUUUAACAGUCAGGAAGGAUUAGGACACAGUACCUCAGAGGACAUCAGGAGCCGGUGGGGGAUAGGGUGAAGGGGAGCUCACUGAUCACUGCUUUGUAAAAUAAAGUGAUCUCCCAUUACUCUCACUUUCUCCACGACUUCAGUGUGAGUGGUUUUUAGUGGCUCUGUUCUUGAAAGCAUUAACAGGACAAUGCAGGGUGGACUUUUUUCAGGGUUGCUUCCUGCCCCUGUCCCCCAAUCAAAUAAUCUCCCAUAUGACCACCCUUUGUUAAAUGGUAUUCUUACCUUAGCUGCCAGUCCUUCACACAGAUAUGAUGCCACCAUUGCUGAUGGAAACCUGCUAUUUUCUGUUCUCCAUGCUUUCCUCUACCCUUCCUGCACACCUGGCCUUGCCCUGGCUCGCCUUUAUCACCACUGCUGCACAACAGCCAGGAACUAAGCCAGCCCCAGUGACAUCAGUGGCCCUCAAACCCACACCCAUGGCACACAGCUGGCAGCAGUCUUCCUGGUGUAACUUUGUUAAUGCUCAGUUUCACCAGCAGCUCUGUCAUGCAUUAACCAAAUUUGCUUCGGUUCCUUUAAA
This is a long non-coding RNA of Pogoniulus pusillus (Red-fronted tinkerbird), 1675 nucleotides long. RefSeq lists it as uncharacterized. Lineage: Eukaryota; Metazoa; Chordata; Aves; Piciformes; Lybiidae. The record is from RefSeq and is a predicted model, not a curated record. The transcript has 3 exons.